GUCUACGGCCAUGCUGCCCUGAACAAGCCCGAUCUCGUCUGAUCUCAGAAGCUAAGCAGGUCAGGCCUGGGUUAGUACUUGGAUGGGAGACCACCUAGGAAGACCAGGUGCUGUAGGCA
This 119-nucleotide ribosomal RNA is filed under the name Pteropus alecto (black flying fox). Lineage: Eukaryota; Metazoa; Chordata; Mammalia; Chiroptera; Pteropodidae. The record is from RNAcentral.